This 73-nucleotide transfer RNA is filed under the name Felis catus (domestic cat). It matches the Rfam family "tRNA". Rfam says of the family: Transfer RNA (tRNA) molecules are approximately 80 nucleotides in length. Their secondary structure includes four short double-helical elements and three loops (D, anti-codon, and T loops). Further hydrogen bonds mediate the characteristic L-shaped molecular structure. tRNAs have two regions of fundamental functional importance: the anti-codon, which is responsible for specific mRNA codon recognition, and the 3' end, to which the tRNAs corresponding amino acid is attached (by aminoacyl-tRNA synthetases). tRNAs cope with the degeneracy of the genetic code in two manners: having more than one tRNA (with a specific anti-codon) for a particular amino acid; and 'wobble' base-pairing, i.e. permitting non-standard base-pairing at the 3rd anti-codon position. Lineage: Eukaryota; Metazoa; Chordata; Mammalia; Carnivora; Felidae. The record is from Rfam by way of RNAcentral.
GCCUGACUGGCUCAGUUGGUAGAGCAUGCAACUCUUGAUCUCAGGGUUGUGAGUUCAAGCCCUACAUUGGGCA